This 410-nucleotide ribosomal RNA is filed under the name uncultured bacterium. RNAcentral describes it as "bacterial SSU rRNA". It matches the Rfam family "Bacterial small subunit ribosomal RNA", at positions 370 to 772 of the family's 1533-position model. The record is from RNAcentral.
AAUGGGCGCAAGCCUGAUCCAGCCAUGCCGCGUGUAUGAAGAAGGCCUUCGGGUUGUAAAGUACUUUUGUCAGGGAAGAAAAGCCUGAGGAUAACACCCUCAGGUCAUGACGGUACCUGAAGAAUAAGCACCGGCUAACUACGUGCCAGCAGCCGCGGUAAUACGUAGGGUGCGAGCGUUAAUCGGAAUUACUGGGCGUAAAGCGAGCGCAGACGGUUAUUUAAGCAAGAUGUGAAAGCCCCGGGCUCAACCUGGGAACUGCGUUUUGAACUGGGUAACUAGAGUGUGUCAGAGGGGGGUAGAAUUCCACGUGUAGCAGUGAAAUGCGUAGAGAUGUGGAGGAAUACCGAUGGCGAAGGCAGCCCCCUGGGAUAACACUGACGUUCAUGCUCGAAAGCGUGGGUAGCAAA